AUGAAAGAGUUUUUUUAUCUCCGAGGGUUUCUCCACCGCCAACGGUGUUCAGAGAAUCGGCGAUGGUGGAGGAGUUGGGAGCAUAGACAGGCUGCCACGGGAAGUUCAAGUUUGGAAUUGGAAACUGCAAUCAAUAUUGGAGUUUGCUUCAAGGGUAUGAAGCAAAUAUGUAUCUCUACUACAAAUUCAGAUUCAGUAAUCAAUGAUGGGAAAGAGGCCAUCAAUACUUUGAGAAUAGAUAUGCAGGAGCUCAUUUCUGAGAAGAUAAAGAAAAAUGAAAGAUAUGUAUGA
Non-coding RNA from Vicia faba (fava bean), 291 nucleotides. The record is from the annotation of a GenBank genome assembly. NCBI's taxonomy places the organism in Eukaryota, Viridiplantae, Streptophyta, Magnoliopsida, Fabales, Fabaceae.